AUACGGAGGAUGCGAGCGUUAUCCGGAUUUAUUGGGUUUAAAGGGUGCGUAGGCUGUGCGUUAAGUCAGGGGUGAAAUGCCGUCGCUCAACGACGGAGCUGCCCUUGAUACUGGCGUGCUGGAGUACGGAUGCCGUUGGAGGAAUGAGUGGUGUAGCGGUGAAAUGCUUAGAUAUCACUCAGAACACCGAUUGCGAAGGCAUCUGACGAAUCCGUCACUGACGCUGGGGCACGAAAGCGUGGGGAUAGAACAGUAUUAGAUGCCCUGGUAUUCCACGCCGUAAACGAUGAUGACUAACCGUCGGCGAUAGACAGCCGGUGGCCAAGCGAAAGCGAUAAGUCAUCCACCUGGGGAGUACGUCAGCAACGAUGAAACUCAAAGGAAUUGACGGGG
Molecule: ribosomal RNA, 393 nt
Filed under: uncultured bacterium
Lineage: Bacteria
Description: partial 16S ribosomal RNA
Rfam family: Bacterial small subunit ribosomal RNA
Source: RNAcentral